Molecule: ribosomal RNA, 327 nt
Filed under: uncultured eukaryote
Lineage: Eukaryota
Description: partial 18S ribosomal RNA
Rfam family: Eukaryotic small subunit ribosomal RNA
Source: RNAcentral
CCCUUAGAUGUUCUGGGCCGCACGCGCGCUACACUGACGAAUGCAACGAGCUUAUAACCUUGGCCGAAAGGUCUGGGUAAUCUCCAAAUUUCGUCGUGAUGGGGAUAGAUUAUUGCAAUUAUUAAUCUUCAACGAGGAAUGCCUAGUAAGCGCAAGUCAUCAGCUUGCGUUGAUUACGUCCCUGCCCUUUGUACACACCGCCCGUCGCUCCUACCGAUUGAAUGGUCCGGUGAAGCGUUCGGACCGUGGCCUUUGGACGGUUCGCCGUCUGUUGGCUGCGGGAAGUUCGUUAAACCUUAUCAUUUAGAGGAAGGAGAGNUCGUAACA